Pyrenophora teres f. teres 0-1 is the source of this 101-nucleotide non-coding RNA. The record is from Rfam. NCBI's taxonomy places the organism in Eukaryota, Fungi, Ascomycota, Dothideomycetes, Pleosporales, Pleosporaceae.
GCCUUCGGGCAAUUGGUCAAUUGAAACGAUACAGAGAAGAUUAGCAUGGCCCCUGCACUAAGGAUGACACGCUCAGUUCGUGGACCCAAAUUUCCAUCUUU